UACGUAGGUGGCAAGCGUUGUCCGGAUUUACUGGGCGUAAAGGGCGUGCAGGCGGUCUGUUAAGUCUAGGGUGAAAGCUCCCGGCUCAACUGGGAGAGGUCCUUGGAUACUGGCGGACUUGAGGGAGGCAGAGGAGUAUGGAAUUCCCGGUGUAGUGGUGAUAUGCGUAGAUAUCGGGAGGAACACCAGUGGCGAAGGCGGUACUCUGGGCCGUUAACCCGGAGCUGAGACGCGAAAGCGUGGGGAGCGAACCGG
This 255-nucleotide ribosomal RNA is filed under the name uncultured bacterium. RNAcentral describes it as "partial 16S ribosomal RNA". It matches the Rfam family "Bacterial small subunit ribosomal RNA", at positions 524 to 776 of the family's 1533-position model. The record is from RNAcentral.